Molecule: ribosomal RNA, 467 nt
Filed under: uncultured bacterium
Lineage: Bacteria
Description: partial 16S ribosomal RNA
Rfam family: Bacterial small subunit ribosomal RNA
Source: RNAcentral
ACGCACGCUGGCGGCGUGCUUCACCCCUGCCAGUCGCACGGAAAGGCCCUGCUUUUGUGGGGUGCUCGAGUGGCGAACGGGUGAGUAACACGUGAGUAACCUGCCCUUGACUUUGGGAUAACUUCAGGAAACUGGGGCUAAUACCGGAUAGGAGCUCCUGCUGCAUGGUGGGGGUUGGAAAGUUUCGGCGGUUGGGGAUGGACUCGCGGCUUAUCAGCUUGUUGGUGGGGUAGUGGCUUACCAAGGCUUUGACAGGUAGCCGGCCUGAGAGGGUGACCGGCCACAUUGGGACUGAGAUACGGCCCAGACUCCUACGGGAGGCAGCAGUGGGGAAUAUUGCACAAUGGGCGGAAGCCUGAUGCAGCAACGCCGCGUGCGGGAUGACGGCCUUCGGGUUGUAAACCGCUUUCGCCUGUGACGAAGCGUGAGUGACGGUAAUGGGUAAAGAAGCACCGGCUAACUACGUG